UUAUGUUUUACUUGUGUUAUUUGAACUCCUUUUAUAUAUAAUAUAUGCUGCUUGUUGUGCUAACAUGAAAUAAUUAUGGACAUAAAUUGAAUGUGCUUCUUUAUUGCUAGUACUCUUAUUGCAAACACAGCAACGAACAUGGUAGAAUACAUAAAUGACACAAUUAAUAUAAAGGCAAUCAAACAUGGCCAUAAUAGACUAUGCACAAAUAAAUUAA
RNAcentral lists this long non-coding RNA (217 nucleotides) under Arachis ipaensis. Its description in RNAcentral is "long non-coding RNA (AIPA_LNC001485)". Lineage: Eukaryota; Viridiplantae; Streptophyta; Magnoliopsida; Fabales; Fabaceae. The record is from RNAcentral.